This 441-nucleotide ribosomal RNA is filed under the name uncultured bacterium. RNAcentral's name for it is "partial 16S ribosomal RNA". It matches the Rfam family "Bacterial small subunit ribosomal RNA", at positions 338 to 795 of the family's 1533-position model. The record is from RNAcentral.
CCUACGGGUGGCAGCAGUGGGGGAUAUUGCACAAUGGGGGGAACCCUGAUGCAGCGACGCCGCGUGGGUGAAGGAGUAUUUCGGUAUGUAAAGCCCUAUCGGCAGGGAAGAAAUUGGACGGUACCUGACUAAGAAGCCCCGGCUAACUACGUGCCAGCAGCCGCGGUAAUACGUAGGGGGCAAGCGUUAUCCGGUUUCACUGGGUGUAAAGGGAGCGUAGACGGCCAUGCAAGCCAGGGGUGAAAGCCCGGGGCCCAACCCCGGGACUGCCCUUGGAAAUGCAUGGCUGGAGUGCGGGAGGGGCAGGCGGAAGUCCUGGUGUAGCGGUGAAAUGCGUAGAUAUCAGGAGGAACACCGGCGGCGAAGGCGGCCUGCUGGACCGCGACUGACGUUGAGGCUCGAAAGCGUGGGGAGCGAACAGGAUUAGAUACCCCAGUAGUC